RNAcentral lists this ribosomal RNA (207 nucleotides) under uncultured bacterium. Its description in RNAcentral is "partial 16S ribosomal RNA". It matches the Rfam family "Bacterial small subunit ribosomal RNA", at positions 568 to 774 of the family's 1533-position model. The record is from RNAcentral.
CGCGUAGGCGGUGAAUUGGGUGUGGUGUGAAAGCCCCGGGCUUAACCUGGGAAGUGCAUCGCAAACUAAUUGACUGGAGUAGGUGAGAGGGUGGCGGAAUUUCCGGUGUAGCGGUGAAAUGCGUAGAGAUCGGAAGGAACGUCAAUGGCGAAGGCAGCCACCUGGCAUCAUACUGACGCUGAGGCGCGAGAGCGUGGGGAGCGAACA